Molecule: ribosomal RNA, 253 nt
Filed under: uncultured bacterium
Lineage: Bacteria
Description: partial 16S ribosomal RNA
Rfam family: Bacterial small subunit ribosomal RNA
Source: RNAcentral
UACAGAGGUCCCAAGCGUUGUUCGGAUUCAUUGGGCGUAAAGGGUGCGUAGGCGGCGCGGUAAGUCGGGUGUGAAAUCUCGGAGCUUAACUCCGAAACUGCAUUCGAUACUGCCGUGCUUGAGGACUGGAGAGGAGACUGGAAUUUACGGUGUAGCGGUGAAAUGCGUAGAUAUCGUAAGGAAGACCAGUGGCGAAGGUGGGUCUCUGGACAGUUCCUGACGCUGAGGCACGAAGGUCAGGGGAGCAAACGGG